Tympanuchus pallidicinctus (lesser prairie-chicken) is the source of this 13549-nucleotide long non-coding RNA. RefSeq lists it as uncharacterized. Lineage: Eukaryota; Metazoa; Chordata; Aves; Galliformes; Phasianidae. The transcript is spliced from 9 exons. The record is from RefSeq and is a predicted model, not a curated record.
AGCGCCGCCAUGUUCCUCUGGAGGCACGGCGAGGGCCGCCGGUCUCGGGACGUUUAAAGGGCAAAUUAAAGUUAUCUGGCGGCUGUGGGGAACGCGAUGUCAGAGCAUGUGCCUGCUGUAUUAAUAGCUCGCAGGAGGCACCCGAGGGGACCGAGAAAGCUUGCAGGAAUACCUCGGGCGGCAAUAACCGUUUGUAGGGGCUGGCGGCCGGCGCUGAGGGUGCUGCAGGCGCAGGCUUUGUGUGCGUGGCCUCGAACCUCUGCGGUGCGUGCUGCGGGAGGGCGUCGGGCUGCCGAGCCACCGGGGAAAGUGAUCAUAGAAUCACAGAGUGGCCUGGGUCAGAAAGGACUGCGAUUAUAAUCUAUUUUCAACCCCCUGCUGUGUGCAGGGUCGCCAACCACCAGACCAGGCUGCCCAGAGCCACAUCCAGCCUGGCCUUGAAUGCCUCCAGAGAUGGGGCAUCCACAGCCUCUUUGGGCAACCUGUUGCAGCAAUGUGGCAGUGUGCACGUGUCUGUGAGCAUUUGGGGGAACUAGAAACGGGUGCAGCCUCUGCAAGGCAAGGACAUGGAAUCUCCUCGUGUCUGAUGCAGUGUGAGCCUGCCAGCCUUGAGGUCUUCAACAUCCCGGCAUGUUCCAGAGGCUGCCUUCCCAUAGACGAGGCAACGUGCCCUGGUUUCAACCCGGCAAGGUCAGACCCUCUGCAAGCACUGCAGUCAGUCACCCCUCCAGGAAGCACGUGCUUGGAAAUGCUCAGGUUGCUUGACUCGCACACUGUGUGAGAGAUCAGUGAGGACUGCAGCAAAACCUUACCUCUCUUCAAUGCAGAGGGAAGCACUUCAGUCUCAAAUGCGGGUUACGUGGCCUUCUUCACAUGUUCCCCCUGCCUGAUGUCUGUACAACCUUGUGAUUCGCUGUUGCAUGGAGUAGUUAUGUGAAAGCCAGUGUAAAAAAUUCUAAGUGUAUACCAAGGAAUUUGCCUUAAAACAGUCAUCAUAUGUGGUUCUAGGAUGAUGCUGUACUGAGGAAAGCUAAGGUUAAUGAGGUCAGCCUUAAUUCAGUAAUAUAGUAUCAAUAAUGGAAAUAGAAUUCAUCUUAAUGUAGGUGCUAAAAGAUUGGCUGUUCCAUGAAGAGACAUUCCCUCCAGGACAGCAAAUCUCACUGACGUCUGUGUUUAGCACAAGGCAAUGAGACUGUAAAUUUGAUCCCCAGCCUCUCUUGCUCUCUGCUGCUCUCUGAGGUAGAGGUCUUUUCUCAUGAACCUCAGCAACAGCAGCUUUAACGCUGCACACCUAAGCCACCAUGAGCAAGAUGGAGUCUUUCCCUAGUUCUAAGAAAUGGAAAGAGAGGUUACCUGAAAAGGCCUUUUUCCCAAGCAAGAACUGAAAGCAGGUGCAAGCUGGAAGCACAGGGGCUCCCUAAAGUUAGACUGGAAGUAAAUAUCCUUUUGACAUCUCAGGGCUUCUGCUGCUGGUUUCACAGGAACCCACAGGAUGGCAGUGUUUGCAGUGCUGCCUAGCUGGACGAGGUCUCCUCACUGCAUGCAGGCAGGUUUGGCGUGGAGAUUACUGAUGAAGAGUUUGAGCUGCUACUUGACAGAAUCCCCCUUGAUGAAGAUGGAAGUGUCAGAUACCCCCAGUUCAUGGCCAGGUUUGAUUCCCGAUUGCUUCAGCUGUCAUGUCCAAGUAAAUUCUGAAGUUGAGAAGCCAACGUCCCUAAAAGAAGCAACAUUCAUCUUAAUGAGUUUUUUAAAGGCUGCCUGUUUUUUGAUGUUCCAUUGGUAGCUACAGCCUAUGCCAGAUUUCAGAGACUGUGACCAAAGGCAGAGUGACAAAGAUGAAGGAUGAAUGUCAACCUUAAGUGUUGUAUUUGAGGAGCUAAGGUGAGAGGUCAGCUACAAGAGGGCCGUGUGGAAUUGUCCUAAUCCGAGAAGAGCCACUGCCUCCCUGUGUGAUCUGACAGACUGACAUAUCACUUGACCUCGGUCACGGCAGCUGUACAACGAGGUGGAAAAGGCGGCUGAUGGACAACCAGGGGAUGCCUUUCAGCACAGCUUCCUCGGGGUAAACCACGGACAAACGCAUGGCUUGGCUUCUUUCUUACUCAUCCAUGAGUUUUAGAUCAAAUUCAGAUUUUGCAUAGCUUUUCUUGGAUUUUUUUCUUUAACACAGCGGAAGCGAGGGUGACGCAGUCACCUACCGCAGGUUCUCUGGGGCAGAGCGGCAGCCGGGAGGGCGGCUGUUGCAGGCAGCCGCUCCCGCUCGCUGCCUCGGGAUGGGGGGCCGCGCUCCCCGCCGUGGCGCUGCCGGGUCUGCAGGGGGCGCGGCGGCUCCGCUGCAGCUGCAGCCGCAUGAUCAGCCCGGCCCCCUCCCGGCGUCCUCAUGUCGCCGUCCGACGCGUUUAGAUCUUCGCUGCCUGGGAGGAGCGUGCAGGCACGCGAGGUGCUGCGUCCCCGACCUGAACUGAGGGCAUCUCCAAUCCGCGGCAGUUUUACCAACUGGUAGCAUUUAGAACCUCGCUUUUAGGCGUUGCGUUAGUUUCUCAGCAGUUGUUAGCCAUUAAGUUAUUGCAGCUGGGCAGAUUUUUAAUUAAACUGAUACUCUUAGUGCUUUGUUUGUUUGUUUUCCUAGAAGAUUCUAAUCAAUACAAACUAUAGGCCAAUGGCAUCCUGGCUUGUGUCAGGAAUGGUGUGGUGAGCAGGACUGGGCAAAAGUCAUCCUGCCCCUGUACUCGGCACGGGUGAGGUCUCCUCGAGUACUGUGUUCAGUUUUGGGCACCUCAGAACAGAAAGGACAUGGAGGUGCUGGAGCAGGUCCAAAGAAGGGCAAUAAGGCUUCUGAAGGGCUCGGAGAAUAUGGCCCAUGAGGAGAGACUGAAGGAACUGGUGCUGUUCAGUCUGGGGAAAAGGAGGCUGAGGGGAGACCUUAUUGCUCUCUUCCAAUAUCUGAGAGGUGCUUACAGUGAGAGCAGGGUUGGUUUCUUCUCACUGGUGACAGGACGAGGGGAAAUGGCCUCAAGUUGCGCCAGGGUAAGUUUAGGUUGGAUGUCAGGAAAAACUUCUGUACAGAAAGGGUUGUGAAGCACUGGAAUGGGCUCCCCGGGGAAGUGGUUAAGUCACCAUCCCUGGAUGUGUUUAAGAAGCAUCUGGAUGUGGUGCUCAGGGACAUGACUUAACGGAGUUGUUAGAGUUAGGAUAGUAUGGUAAGGUUGUGGUUGGACUCUAUGAUCUUUAACGUUUUUUCCAACCUGAGCAAUUCUAUGAUUCUAUAUUUUCACAUAAUUAUCUCACAUAUAAGUGUAAGACACAUCAUGCUUGUUGUCUCUGGAAAGGGCAGAGUGUCUGUAUUAUGAUCUUCUGUAAACUUCUUGAGAGGCCUCUGUUGUAUCCAGCACAAUUAUUCCCAACUCUGUGCCUUCUUUUCCUGUAUGUUUUCUCUUCAUAGCAAACUGAACUGUUAUUCUGCAGGACCACUAGGAAAUGUCUGGAGACAAAGACUGAGUGCCAGACAUCUUUCUGAUUCACGUCAUUCCUUGAUGACACCCAAGCAGAGCUGGGCUGCUGGGCAAUGGAAGCUCUCCCUGCACUAUUUUAUCCAUUAGCUCAGAUACAGUUGAGAAGAAUUUAUACUAUGUGAAAGAACACAUACAAGUUGUGAGCAACCACGUGGUCUGAAUGUUAAGGAUUCAUCCUUCCUCCUACAGAAGGUAUUUAAGGUCAUGUUUUAAUAUUUGAAAAACAACUUGUGCUCCUGAACUGUUACAUUUUUUAGGACUAAAUGUGAACAGGGCUUCAGUGAAUAGAUGCACUGCUAGUUGAAGAUGCUGUAGCAGCUCUGACACUCCAAAUUUUGAAGCUGGGGACUAAAUCGGUGUUUCACUGAGCAGCACUUGCACAUUUUGAGUGGUAAGGAAAAUACAAAGUAUAUCUGAAAAUGCAUGAUAACAGAGAAUUGUUGCAGCUGGAAGGAACAUCUGGGAAUCAUCAAGUCCAACUCUCCUGCUAAAGCUGGUUCCCUACAGUAGGCUGCAACUGUCAUCAUGGAACAAACCCAAAAGGGCAGAUCUGCACUGUGCUUAGUGCUGCGAUGUUUGCCUUGCUGAGUGAUCAGCAAAGCCAAACUUCCUCUUCUUAAGGGUCUUUGGAUCAGUUAUUGAUAUAUUCACUAGUGCAAAUUGUCUGGCUUUGACAGGAAUUUUUAAAUAAUGUCUUUCUUCACAAUGUCUUGCUUUUGCUUGUCUCUCUUUACAGUCUUCUGCAUUUUGUCCCUUUGCCCUUAGCCUUCAGCUGAUGACUGUUAGAACAAGAGUCACCAUCCAUUCAAAUGCACUUAAUCUGUUGUUCUUUCUUGUUUAAAAGCAUCUUGUGCUUUAGUGAAGUCUCUAGACCUGCAAGGAAAGGUCUUCUAUCAAAAAGGAAAAAAUUUGACACUUGAGAGCAUAAUUUUCUUUGUUGACUCAUUUUAUCACUUUGUCUAUCUUUUAAUCAUUGAGGAGCUGUAAAAAUCGAGGUACCCAGCUGAACAUAAAAACACCACACCAGUUUUGCACUGGCUUCACUCCUAUCCAUAUACAGAAUGCCUUUACAUGGAAAAGGCAAACAUCCCAGGAGUCUGUAAGAAGUAGGCUGUAGAUGUUACAGCUUGAAUUCAUGGGAGGACUUCCCUGGAGCCUGAACCACAUCCCUCCAGCUGAAAGGAGAGCCCAGCCUUCCCUUUCUGAAAGGUUGGUACAAUAUCUAGCUACACUCCUUUAUCUUCUGUGUUUUAAAAAUGCCAGGAUUGCUGAGAAGUUCUAGGCAGAAUGGCUCUGUACAUCCAAAUCAUACACUAAUGAUAGAAUUAAAGAAAACAGUGUUAAGCUGUGAUAUGUCUUAAAAAAAACCCCAAAGCAAAAGGUGCUUGAGUGUCUGACCUGCAUGUAUGAAAGUAGAGGCAGAAACAGCGCAUAAACUCAUGCUUUGUCCCUUGGCAAGGAUGAGACUGUAGCAUAGUCUUUUGAACUUAGUGAGUUUUGAGCUUAGUGUCCUGCAGAGUGGUCCAUGUGGUUUCUGAAUUUAAAAUGAGUGGGAUUUUUGUUUGUUUGUUUGUAACAAGAGAGCACUGAAAUAAACCCACAAUGUUAGAGAAGUGUGAUUUUAAUAAUGUUCAGCAGCAUGAGAUCUCUACUUUCCACUCAGUUCUGUUCUCCAUUGAAAAACUUUUGCACAGGAGGAGCUCUGAGAAACCUUUGGUAAUUUUAUAUCCUGUAUUGACUUGCCAAUAAGGGCAUUUGCUCACAAGAUUCCCUUCAAGGCUAAGUGUUGAAUUCCUGGCAUUCCCAGAAGACUUAUGUUGAAUUGUAUGAAUUUAGCUCUUUGCCUAUGUAACUAUGGAAAGCUCUGGAUGUUCCAGGGUCUCCCUGCUCUAGUUUGUCCAUAUUCCAUUGCUUAGAUUUGCCUCUCUGGUGUCUUUGUAAUCUGCUGCACUACAGCUUCAUGAAUCAAUCUGGGCCAUAGGUGCCAGAAAUAGUUGAUGAGUGGCUGCUAUGCAGUCAGGGGGCAAUUGCAUACGUGUAGAGCAAAGGGGAAUCUCUCCUGGGCAUCAUUUGGCCGUGAGUGCUGAUGAGUGCUUAAACUAAGACAGUUUAAGCCAGAGACAAUGCAGGUGAAUUGGAUGGUCUUCAGAACUUGAAAUUCAGUACUACUUUGUGCCCUUAUUGCUACCAGUAAGUAUUUCUCUUGUGAGCUGGGGCUCUCUCUGUAUGAAUAAUGAGCAGGAACAUGGCUGGGUUGUUGCAGCUUGUGCCUGAGAUGGCUGAGCUACCGGUGCUAUGUGACUCUGGAAAAGGCAGGUGCAGCUUUUGGCUCACGCCAUUUCCAAAGGCACUGAGGAGAAGCAAUGUGAAAUGCUGUGUACAGUAUGAGCAUAGCAUUCCUGACAAAGUCCCCCAGUACCUCUUACAGUGAUAUGAAAGUGGUUCUCACUAAAGAUAACUCAGCUGCUAUGAGUAAGGACUAGAUAUGCCUUUUUCAAAAAUGGACUGGAACUGGAGAAACUGCCAAGAUUUUAUGCCCACGUGACCAAGAGAGAAAAAUAUAGGGAGGGAUUAGAAUGCUUAGUUUCUUUAAAUUGGCAAAAUUGGUAAUGGGAGGAGUUAUGGUGGCUGUCUGUACAUGCAAAAGCUUUUAAAAACUGGGGAUUAUAAGACUUUGUCUUAGCAGAUUGGCAGACUAGAUUUUUAAUAGAGCAGAAGGGAUCAUCUGAUCUAUAUAAAAUCAAAUGAAACAGUUCCAUCUGACUCAACUUGAGCAGGUAUGUUUGUAUUCUCUUUUCUGCAAGGCAUCCUGGCAGCCUGUGUACUAAGACCAGAGCUCAGGAAGCUCCUGAUUGCAGCGUGUCCCAGCAGGCUGCAGAAGCUAAGUGAGAGCUUGUUUGUGAUGUGCUGGUGUUCAUAUCGAGCAAAUUCAUCCUUGCUCAUUAGUAUUCAAGGGAGAAAGGAAAGUUGUCUGUGGGAUGACUUUCUGCAUAACCUGUGUUUUUGCCUUGGUCUGAGAAAUUCUUUCCCUGACCUUUUAAUUGGAGGCAAUGUUUUAGAUUUAGUAUUAUUAAAGAUGUUUGCUCUUUAGAAUAUCUUUAGUUUUCUUAUUAGUACCCCUUACUCCCCAGUGGCAUAAAGAGUACUGUGUUUUGAGAAGAGGACCCGAGAAUGGCCCACACAAGAGAAAUAAAAGCAAAGCUGAAGUAUGCGAGAUCGCAUUCUACACGAACCUGCCUGUCUUGUUUUAAGAUGUGUAGAUUUGUCCAUCUUGUUGAGCAGUUCAGUUACCCCCAGUGUAGCUCCUGAUGAUUGUCCUGAGGAGAGAUAAUUCAUCGUGAUCUGUCCAGCCAAAAAACCUGCAACUCAUUUCUGGAUUUAGGGAGAAAGCUUCCUUGCCAGUUGGUGUCAACCUUCAAGUAUGUCUCUGCAGAAGGACAUAAAACCCAGCAGGACUCCCUUAUCACAUGGCAUUAACUGAGGUGGUGCUGUCAUUUUCGAUACAUUUGACUUCUUGCCUCCAACCCCCAUGCUGAGAUCUCAUGUUCCUUUUUUCCCCAGGGUCAUGUCUUACAUAGAGUCCCCACUGUGGCUUUGCUCUGCUGGGUCAAGGGAAACAUGAGAUGAUGAUUUUUGCCCUUUCCUCUUAAUGGUUAAAAUUAUAGAAGGGGUAAGAAGAGGUCUGUAUGGAUUUCAUCUUUGAGAUUGAUUUUAUAAUGACAGCGGGAACAGGGAAAGACAGACCCACUCCAAGGCUUUUGGCUUCCCACACCUUUCAGAAAGGGACAGCAGGAUGACAUCUCAUGCUCUGUAUCUGUCCCAGAUUGUGACUGUUUUCUUGUGAAGAGCAAAUGCACGAUUCAAAGAGUGCCUGGCAAAAGCUUCUUCUAGUUCUGCAGCAGCAGCACGGGAAAUAUUUCAUGUAUGUAGAAGAUGGAGCAUCCCUGUAGACUGUUGUUUUCUGCAACCUUUUGUAAGUUUGGGGAAAAGUUAUUAAGUACUGUUUCUAUUUCUUUCUUUAAAAAAAGACAGAGAAAAAGCCUGCAUUUUCUGCCAUUUCCCAAGAGGCUUUUUAUCUGUUUAAACCAACUAGGGAUUUUUCACAUAUUGACAUAAGCAUUCAUUUGCUAAUUUGCUGGACAUUAAACUGCACAGCAUUCUUGAAUGAGGCUGGAAUACUUGGGUACUUAGUGCUGCUCAGACCCCGCAUCAUUCCCAGUACACAUAUGGUUUUCCUCCUCUAUCUCCUAGAUAAAAGUCACUGUUUGAUCGCCUUAAGGGAAAGAAUGAGUUAAAUGGACCAAUAUUUUAGCCUUGGCUCUAAAACUGGGCCUUUUCAGAAACUCCUCAGCACCUGCAGCAGCUAGGUCAUUUGCACAUACAUAAAUAAAUAAAUUAACAAUGAAUAAAUAAUUUAAUCCCACCAUACAAUGCCACCUUGCAGAUCUGAUCCUUUGCUCCCAGUGAAUUUGUCCAUUCCUAAUUCUUUUUGAUAAAGUCCUCAGAUACUUGCUGACUGUCAGUCUAAUUUUCUUAUUGUUUUCGCUUGAUUAGUUCUGUAUGACCUAAGGUCGCCCUUAAAAUCCACAUCUCUCGUGAAGACUCCGAAAGGCCUUCUUUUUUUUCAAAGGGAUGGAAAGUGCCUGCCAUUUCUCCGGACAAAAGCCGGGAAGGUUUUCAGUUAUUAGCCUCCUGAAGCAGCCCUUUCGCUCACCCAAGCGCAAAAAAAACUCAUUAGGGGGCACCUUUCUUUCUGCCUUCUUCAUCUGAUGCGUGUUGGCUUUACGUGUUUCAAGAUUUCCAGGUCUCGGAUGGAUUUGGCCAGCCUCCCUUUUAACCCUGCCAGACUGUGGUGGUGCCCUGGACAGAGAUUGGUUGAACCACCUGGAGAUGCUCCAUCCUUUCAGCAGCUGUUUUACACACUCUGUUCUGCUGUUCUGUUGAGUACUUCUGCCCGGCACGCAGCACUGCCAUACCUGUGCCUGCCUUUUAAGAAGAAAAGCAUCCCAAAAGUAAACUGGAAGAAAGGGGCUGCCUGGUCUCUGAUGAAGGAUCUCUACUUUGCCUGAGAUCUGAGCCUAAAGGGAAGAAAUACUCAGGAGCAGAAGGAAGAUGAACAGGGCGUAAAGAGAGCAGUGCCAGUGGAAUUUUUGUGGACAAAUACUUUGUGUCUUGCUCCUGCAACGCUAUUUCUCCUUGUCCUGUCCUGACAAGCAGCUGCUCUUCCAGUCCCCUGGGUUAAAACCUGUUUUGGAAAACUCAGGACUGUAGCUAAGGUCUCAGUUCCAAGCAUGUGGAACGACAAUUUAAUAGCCACUAGUCUUGCUACUGGCUGUUUUCAAGGCCAAGAGAAAUUCUCUUUCUUAGUUUGGAAUAGCAUACUGUUGCAACCACUAUUUUUUUUGCCAGUUCCUCUGAAAUCCCCAUGAUACUGACAAUUUACUUCCACUCUUUUUUACCAGUUCCUCUGAAACCUGAGGGAGAUCAGCCCUCCAUAAAAUCAAGCCAGCCAAAUGCAUAAGGCUGGAUCUGUAUGCAAGUCCUUGCAGGUUCCAUACUACCAACUCCAUUACUCUUUCUAUUGGCAUAAAUUCUGACCAGCUGUCAGCUUGAACUUAGGGUAAAAUAGUGUGGAAGCUAUGUGACAAGAAGAAAUUGUGUCAGCAUGAUACCAGGCAGUCUUGUUUAUACCGUUUUGCAUCAGUGUCCCUUCCACCCAAACCAUUUAGGGAUAUUCGAGCUUUCUGAAUAAACUUGACACAUUAGUUAAAAAGAAGCUUGAAGCUUUGGAUGAAAUUAACUUCUAGUGUCUCAUUCAGAACGCUGUGUACAUUCUGUUGAAGAAAUCCUGCUAAAAAUAAGCUAAAACAUUCUGGAUGAUGCUGUGCCUGGAGCUCUGCUCAAUGUCCCACACAGAGAGAAGAGGAUUGGCUUCCACUGAAACCAAUGGCAAAUUUCUCCUGUACUAUGUACGUACUUUAAAUUCAGGAUUUACUGAUUUUGUGUGCAGGUUGUUCAUACAUGGAGUUCUGAAGCCUUUUGCUUCUUUUUGACCAUGUAUAAGAACACCUCUUCUAGCAAUACAUGCAACAAGUACAAUAGAAACAUCUGUCACAGGUUAUGGUGACUGGAAGACUCUCUGAAGAGCCUUUAAGAAGCCACGUAUUGGCAGCUGAACUUCAAUCCAUCCAAAUCUUCACAGCUUUCUGCUAGAAGAGGAUGAAAUUGACCACAUGCCCUCAAAAUUCAUCUCAAUCUGAAAAGGCAAGUUAAUUCCAAAUCCAUUUUGGGGAAAAAAAAAAAAAUUAUGACAAACAAAAAGCAAAAAAAUAAUUUUUAAAACUGCUACAAAUUAGAAUAUUCCUUUGAGAAGAAUGACAGCCUUUAUAUUCUCCCAGUUGCCUAUCUUUCUAGCUACAUCACAUUUAUUUCUCUUAUUUAUGUCCCCUGUCUUUUGAUUGUGGAUCAUAUUCAGUAUUGUAUGUCGUGUUGUGAAGAGGUGGUAGAAGCUCUGUCUGAGAGCUUAAAGCACAGCUGAAAAUAAGGCAGUUAUGACUGUAUGUAACAUGUGUCAUGUGACUAAGAAAACGAGCUCUCUGAGAAGGAGAGGCUAAGUUGCUCUGUGGAGCAGCAGAUUGCUUUGAGAAAGUGAAAUAUUCAAGCUGCUUUGAUGCUGGGAGCCUCCUCACAACAGAAGAGUGUUCCUUUGGCCUCACAGAGUUAGCUUGAGUCCUGCACAUGCAUGUAGCAGAGUAGAUUAUUUUGUCUAGUUGUGUCAUCUUUUCUUCUUGGGGGAACAGUUCAUGCCUUCGGUAUAGCAGGCAGUAGGGCCUGCUCUGCAGUUCUUCUGCACGUGUGACUUCACUUUCACCGUCAGAGUAACUGAGUGUUUAAGACCAAGGUAGGUUUUUAUUUUCCAUACAUGUUUGCAGACACAGGGCUGUGUGGCUCAAUUAGUAAAUUGAGCACCGAGAGCCACUGAAAUAUGGGUCACUUACCUGUUGGGUGAGGUCUCUGCUGAGGCAGCUCCGUCAUGCCUCCUCCUCACGUAAACAGCCCUAGCUUCAGGGGUCUCCAGAGAGCUUUGUCUACUUGCAGGAGCUAAGGAUUUGGUCCAGAAUAUACACAAGUAGGUAAACAGCUUGUUUUUUGUUCAUUUGCUUUAAUAUAAUGACUUUUCUGCAGACAAUAAUUUGUAACCAACUUAAGCACUGGUACCCUUAAGCAACAUUUAAUUGGUUUUCAUGCAUCUUAGCCAUCUAACAGGUUUUAUUUGGCUUUCCACAACAAAAAAUAUACUUCUGGUCUUGUUCUUUUUCCAAAUACUUCCCCGUCCUUCUCCAGGCAUCAAAGAGAAUAACAAAGCUCCAAUAAAAGGUGGAGGUUUUUUGUUUUGUUUUUUAAUCUCUUUCUUCUUUUAAAGAAACAAGAAGGUAAUGUAUGAAUAAAGUGUGUCAUGUAAGGAAAUUAUUAUUACAUCCUUCUAUCAAAAGAGGUUCUAUAGUGGAACAUGCAGGACUGGUGAUUUCCUUAGAACUUUCCAAUAUACAUUUGUGUUGUAUAUAAUGUAUGUUGUUUCAGGUUCUCCAAAGGCUUGUGAAAAUGUGUAAUCUGUGCUUGAUGAAUCUCAUUGAUCCCUGAUAGAUUUCCUCUUUUUGAAAGUGAAGACAUGUGAGGUUAGUUCUGUAGGUUUUACCAUUGUUCUUUCUACAGAUCUCGGUCCUGAAAACCCAGCAGUGGAUUUGGAAGUAAAGGUGAAUUGUUCCUGUCCUAUAUCCUUUGACAGCAAAAUUCUGCACACUGACAUUCACGUGCAGCUAUCAUGAUGUCACUGUUGUAAGUCAGUAAGGUUGUACAGGUGGACAUUUUAGUUUGGGGGAAAAAAAUUAACAAAGAGAUCCAUCCUGUAUCUUAGCCAUAAAAUACUGACCCUUGCAGGCUGAUUUCUGUGAAUUCAUCCUCUGGAAUGGCACUAAUGCAGCAUACGUGGGAAGUUAUGAGGCUCCAGCAAACCCACAUUUAAGCAAAGAAUCAGCACACUCUACUAGGAAAUGCUGAGAAAAACAAAACUGAAUCCAACCAAAUGGUGGCACAGGUCCUAUAUAGGCUUGAUGUGUAUGUAGGGCCUCCUUUCAGUAUCUAAGGGGCUGUAAGGAGGGGGGCAGACUCUUUAGCAGGGUCUGCUGUGACAGGACACGGGGAAAUGGUUUCACGCUAAAAGACAGGAGAUUUAGAUUGGACUUAAGGAGGAAGUGUUUUACACUAAGGGUGGUGAAGCACUGUCACAGGUUGCCCAGAGAGGUGGUGAAUGCCCCAUCCCUGGAGACAGCCAAGGUCAGGCUGGAGGGGCUCUGAGCUCCUGAUGGAGCUGUAGGUGUCCCUGUUCAGUGCAGGGCAGCUGGACCGGAUGGCCUUCAAAGGUUCAUUAAACUCAGAUGAUUCUGGGAUUCUGUGGUACUGCUGUUCAUUUGUGCGGUACCCCAAGCACACACAUGUCCAGGAGAGAAGUAUGCUGGUGUGAGGGCAGCAGUCCUCCCUCCCUCUUCCCUGGAUGGAGAAAGUACCCCGACACUGUCACUGUCUGGAGCUCAACUUCAUGCUCACAAUUCAAAAUUGGAAGUCUGCUAUUUGAUGUCUUAAUCACCUUAUGCCUCUCAGAGGGCUAACCAGGGUACGCUGUUUUGUUUGAAUUCAACAGAAGUGGCUUCAGAGGGACAGAGUGAUUAUGAACAUGGUCUCUCAAAGAAGACCCAGGUUUUAGCCUCAAAGACUUCAAGCCUGAGACUUCAGCUUCCUAGAAGAAUGCCUAAGCCUAGGGUUAGGGAUAAGGAGCCACAGGCUGCUGAGCCACUGAAGGCACUUCCUGCCAUAAGCUUGGCUGGGAGGGCUUGGGUUGAGCUGCAUCCUCCUCUAAAUGCCUGCACCCUUCAAGGGCUGACAAUGUGGGUGUGCGUCGAGGCUCACAGCUGAGCUCAGAGCCAGUGGACCGAGAGUCUCCAAACACAGGACUGCAUUGUGAGUGGCUGUAACUCCUCUCACAGGCUCUGGGUGCAGCCCUCAGGCUCCACAAUGUUCACCAAACAUGUAAUGGCUAAGUUGUGGAUCCCAUCAUGCAUUCCCCGUUCCCUUGCAGGAUGCCCUCAGUAAGGAAGGCUUUUAUUAUUAUUAUUAUUACAUUACUCAUUUCCUAGAAGAGGACUGCACUUUUAAGUAUGUAUUAGUUAUUAAAAAUCAAAUUGCCUUUUAACUUUUAUGGCUUAUCUCUGAAACUUGAAAUUUUUUCUAGAGAGAGUAUUUAUUUCAUCCCAGUUAACUGCAUUACUGUUGCUGAGAUAUACUGCACGUUUCCAUUGCUGUAGUGUAAAGAUGAAUGUUAAAAAUACAUUCAACUGGAUUUGGUAUUCUGAGUUGGAAUCUCCUAAGUUACUCCUCUUUCCUCACGUUUGAUGUAUGUGAUGUUGCUGUCUCUCACCUUUUUUGUGAGUUUUGGUUUAAUGUGCCACUGUGUGGCAUAUGGGUAGAUACCAGAGCUUUAACCUGUGUGUGUAUUAAAAUGCAGUUCUUUUUGCUAGAAAUAAAUGUGAUGAUGUCAGAGGGGAUGGAUGCAGCAGGCUCAUCUGUGAGCUCCACUUCUUGCAGCUCCUCUUCAGCAGACACACACCUGUCAGCUUCGGAGGGCUCCUUCCCACAGACCGUCUCUGCAGAGGAGUUGCUGGGGCUGUACCCUGUUGCACGGGCUCUGUGUCUGAGGGUGGGAAGCACACAGUGUGGUGCUGAAGCCGUGGUUGUGCAUGAGGUGUGCUGCAAAGUCAGGGGAAGUGGGAAGCACUCUGCUCUGUGCUGUGGGCACGCUCAGCUCACAAACCUGCUCUUCACUGUGAAAUAAGCAUGGCAUGGGAACAUUCUUGCUGGUUCUGGGCCUGUUCAGAAUGUAAACUCUGAAUGUAGAGUGGAUGGAUGCAAGCUGCUUGUGUGUCUCUGUGACCUAACUGGUGAUGGUUUAUUCCCAAAUAGCUCAAAUAAAUCCUUCUGAUAAA